GAUCAUUGUCGAAACCUGCCAAGCAGAAUGACCCGCGAACUAGUAUGUGGCAACGUCGGGGGUGCUUUGUGGCGGGCUUUGCUGCCCCCCCACUCUCUGUCCCUUGCCAGGUGCGCUUCUGAACUGCGUUCCUCGGUCGAAAACGAACCCCGACGCGAAUCGCGUCAAGGAACUUCGACAAGAGAAGCAAGCGCCCCCCCGUUYUCGUUCGGGAGUGACGGUACUUGGGGGGGCUAGCUGCAUCUUUUCAUGAACGAAAACGACUCUCGGCAACGGAUAUCUCGGCUCUCGCAUCGAUGAAGAACGUAGCGAAAUGCGAUACUUGGUGUGAAUUGCAGAAUCCCGUGAACCAUCGAGUCUUUGAACGCAAGUUGCGCCCGAAGCCAUUAGGCCAAGGGCACGCCUGCCUGGGCGUCUCGCAUCACGUCGCUCCCGCCUUGUGCCCGUAAAGGGUCCUUGGGUUUGAUGGGGGCGGAUUUUGGCCCCCCGUGUGCCCUAGUGCGCGGUCGGCCUAAAAAAGAGCCCCCUGGUGACGAACGUCCCGAUGAGUGGUGGAUGUGAUAACGUUGCGGCAUGUGUCGUGGGCGUCUUGUCCCAGUGGGUCGCUCUUGUUUCUGACCCUGAGAAAGCACCGUUUAUGCGUCGCCUCGGCCGCGACCCCAGGUCAGG
Molecule: small RNA, 669 nt
Filed under: Sideroxylon persimile
Lineage: Eukaryota; Viridiplantae; Streptophyta; Magnoliopsida; Ericales; Sapotaceae
Description: eukaryotic LSU rRNA
Rfam family: 5.8S ribosomal RNA (bases 262-417)
Source: RNAcentral